This is a long non-coding RNA of Leopardus geoffroyi (Geoffroy's cat), 836 nucleotides long. RefSeq lists it as uncharacterized. The record is from RefSeq and is a predicted model, not a curated record. The transcript is spliced from 2 exons. NCBI's taxonomy places the organism in Eukaryota, Metazoa, Chordata, Mammalia, Carnivora, Felidae.
GGAUUAUCUGUCCCCCUCUCUCUCUGCCCCUCCCCGGCUCGUGUUCUCUCUCAACAAUAAAUUAAAAAAAAAACAUUAAAAAAUAAAAGUCGUCAUGGCAUGUUUUUGCCUAUCUGGGUACAUACACCAUAAUGGUACAUCUUAUCAUUGAUGGCGUUUUAUUUUAGUUUUUAUUUAUAUAUAUAUAUAUAUUUUAACAAUUGUAAAGAUUUAUGCACCCAACAUGGGAAGACCCAAACAUAAAGCAACUAUUAACAUAGAAGAAGAAAUUGAUGACAAUAUUGGUAGGGGACUUAAACACCCUACUUACAACAAUGGACGGAUCAUCCAAACAGAAGUUGAUGGCGUUUUAGAUUUGAUGAAGUAUCCUUAGCAUGUGCCAGAUGCUUCCAUAUACAUUAUUACAUGUAGUAGUCACAUAUUUUUACAGAGGAAGACACUGAGGCUCAGAGAGACCGUGCCAGUAAGAGGACAACUGACAUGUGGAGUCUAGGCCCCCUGACCCCGGAUCCAGGACUCUUUCCCUUCAUCUGCAGCUCCCGAUCCUGCCUGUGGACUUUGAACACCCAUGAGCCAUGCUAUCACGUGUCUGCAAGAGUUCAGAGAAGGCAAAAAGCGUAUCUGUUGAAAAAUAAACUAUUAGGCUCUGUUAUGAGCUGAAGUGUGUCCUUCCUAAAUUCGUACUUUGAAGCCCUAACCCCCAGGACCUCGGAACAUGACAAUUUGGAGAUAGAGACUUGAAGAGAGGUUCCCCAGAUGCUAAGGCCACAGGGACCAAGCAGAUCCAACCACAGGACAGAGUUGUUUAGACCAUAAGAAGCAAAUGGACAGUUGGG